AUGACCUCGGAUCUGGGUAGUGGAUACCCUGGACAACGCUAGAGCGGUAACAGCUCGUUA
RNAcentral lists this ribosomal RNA (60 nucleotides) under Podosphaera xanthii. RNAcentral describes it as "partial 28S ribosomal RNA". Lineage: Eukaryota; Fungi; Ascomycota; Leotiomycetes; Helotiales; Erysiphaceae. The record is from RNAcentral.